RNAcentral lists this long non-coding RNA (720 nucleotides) under Pan troglodytes (chimpanzee). Its description in RNAcentral is "lincRNA". Lineage: Eukaryota; Metazoa; Chordata; Mammalia; Primates; Hominidae. The record is from RNAcentral.
AGAGUCAUUGUGGGGGAGGGGGUGGGCCAGCCAGGGCAGGCAGGGACAGCCCCCCUGAUGAGGAGGCCACUGGGCUGAGACCAAUGAAUGAGACGGAGCCAGCCACGUGGGCUUGAGUCUGGGGGAGCCUGGCUGCCCAGAGGUGGCAGAUGACAUGAAGAAAUACCCAUGUAAGGGCUGGCUGUGUAUGAGAGCAAGCAUUGGGAAGGAUGAAUGCCAACUAUGUUCCAGGAACUUCCACUGUUCUCAUACACCCAGGGGAGUGGUGUUCAGGUGGGUGGCACCCAGGUGAGUGACAUCCCAGUUGAGUGGCACCCAGGUGAGUAGCAUCCAGGUGAGUGACACCUAGGUGAGUGACAUUCAGGUUAGUGGCGUCUGUGUGAGUGGCAUCAUCCAGGUGAGUAGCUUCCAGGUGAGUGGCACCCAGGUGAGUGGCAUUCGGGUGAGUGGCAUUAUCCAGGUAACACCUGGGUGAGUGGCAUCCAGGUGAGUGAUAUCAUCCAGGUAAGUGGCACCUAGGUGACAUCCAGGUGAGUGACGACAUCCAGGUGAGUGACAUCGUCCAGGUAAAUGGCACCCAGGUGAGUAGCAUUCAGGUGAGUGACACCCAGGCGAGUGGCAUCCACGUGACUAGCAUUGUCCAGGUGCAUAACACCCAGGUGAGUGGCACCCAGUUGAGUGGUGCCCAAGUGAGUCACAUCCAGGUAAGUGGGGUCCAGG